RNAcentral lists this ribosomal RNA (451 nucleotides) under uncultured bacterium. RNAcentral describes it as "partial 16S ribosomal RNA". It matches the Rfam family "Bacterial small subunit ribosomal RNA", at positions 29 to 523 of the family's 1533-position model. The record is from RNAcentral.
AACGAACGCCGGCGGCAUGCCUAACACAUGCAAGUCGAACGCGUGGAGCGAUCCACGAGUGGCGCACGGGUGAGUAACGCGUGGGAACCUGCCCUGGAGUGUGGGAUAACCCGGCGAAAGCCGGGCUAAUACCGCAUACGACCUGAGGGUGAAAGAUUUAUCGCUCUAGGAGGGGCCCGCGUCGGAUUAGCUAGUUGGUGGGGUAAUGGCUCACCAAGGCGAUGAUCCGUAGCUGGUCUGAGAGGAUGAUCAGCCACACCGGGACUGAGACACGGCCCAGACUCCUACGGGAGGCAGCAGUGGGGAAUAUUGGACAAUGGGGGCAACCCUGAUCCAGCAAUGCCGCGUGGGCGAUGAAGGCCUUCGGGUUGUAAAGCCCUUUUGCACGCGACGAUGAUGACGGUAGCGUGAGAAGAAGCCCCGGCUAACUUCGUGCCAGCCGCCGCCGUAA